GCGCAACCCUUGUCCUUAGUUACCAGCACGUUAUGGUGGGCACUCUAAGGAGACUGCCGGUGACAAACCGGAGGAAGGUGGGGAUGACGUCAAGUCAUCAUGGCCCUUACGGCCUGGGCUACACACGUGCUACAAUGGUCGGUACAAAGGGUUGCCAAGCCGCGAGGUGGAGCUAAUCCCAUAAAAACCGAUCGUAGUCCGGAUCGCAGUCUGCAACUCGACUGCGUGAAGUCGGAAUCGCUAGUAAUCGUGAAUCAGAAUGUCACGGUGAAUACGUUCCCGGGCCUU
This 288-nucleotide ribosomal RNA is filed under the name uncultured Pseudomonas sp. Its description in RNAcentral is "partial 16S ribosomal RNA". It matches the Rfam family "Bacterial small subunit ribosomal RNA", at positions 1096 to 1382 of the family's 1533-position model. Lineage: Bacteria; Pseudomonadati; Pseudomonadota; Gammaproteobacteria; Pseudomonadales; Pseudomonadaceae. The record is from RNAcentral.